UUAGUAAUCCAAUUGCGUUUCUAUACACUUGUUUGUGAUGGCUUCUGUGCAGUGUGCACACAGCUACGUCCAACUGCGUCGACUUGCCGCUUCAUGGCUGUUUUCUCUCCCGAAAACAACGCAUCAAAGUUUGCGUGACGUCCAGUUAAUCGUGUUAACUCGUGAAUUGUGAUCGCUUGCGUUACAGACUCGUUAUAACUGUAUGUAGGCCUACCUGGUCGCGCGCCACCUCUUUUUAAAGCAUUAGCUACACAACAUUUAUACAGAUAAAUCACAUCUUAUCUGUAUACCUAUUAGUGAACACGUUGACCGAGAGUGCUCAAUUGUUGUUUGCAUUCAUGAAUGUGUUCAGUAUUAGAGAACGUGUUUCUCGCAGCUGUCCCGCUGUGUUCUGCAAGGCAUAACAGUUUCCCCAAUAGUUUCGAGCUCCCAGUCCCGGGACAGUAACAACACUGACCCCACCCCUUUAAUUGGACCACUUUACGCACGUGCUUUGUUUUGGCGAUAAACAGUGCGGGAGACCCAAGUCAAGACCAUUGAACAAUUUCAUAAGCGUUGUGUGGCCUCUGCAUCAUUAUCAAAGUUGCAUAUAAAUAAUAAUUAACAGUUUGGACGGGAUGUUCAUUAGGCUACAUUCGUUCCUUCUCAGCAGGUCACCUUAUAAGGGUAGGCCUACUGCUAUAGUCUUUAUACAUGCUAAUGUGCACUUGUUGCAGAAGGCCCGAGCGUCCGGCCAGUGGCCCAUUCAGACAAGGUGGAAGAAAGGGGACAUCCCCCUCACUCCAUAACAUUACUGAGACAAUAGACGAGGAGGGAUUCGUGAACCCCCCAUCACUUUAUCUCUGAACCAUAAAAUCCCUGAAGCACUCCCACACAUACACACACGCGCGCCCACGCACACACAAACAUCAUUUGAAAAUUGUAUUGCGGGGAUAGCUGAUGGGAUGUGGUCAUUACUCGUGUCUAAUCUCCGACUCCGAAGUAUAAUCCCAAAAAUAAUUCUGUAAGUAAUUGGAAAAGAAACACUGGUUGUAAACUACUUUUAUCUAUUUAAUGAGCAGAGAGCUACAGUAGCUAUUGAAGGCUUUUAAUUUAAUGCAGCAAAACCUCUUCACAUAUAUAGGCUACAUUUUUAUGGGGCUCGGAAUCAAGGCCCCACCUUUAACAAUUGUGUGGUUGUAUCUUUGUGCGUGCUAGAGUUGUAACAUAUUAUUCAACAUUCAAGGACUUCUGCUUUAACCAACCUCAUGGAAUUUUCGUCUAAUUGCAAGCUAGUGAGCCCAUGUCCCCAUAGAAAUUGAGAUUUGAUCAACUACAGACGAGCAGGGGUGGCUGCUAAUUGUGGUCGUGUGUGAAAUGUGCACUUUUUGGUUAGCUGGUUAUUCCUUCUGUGUGAUGACAGAGUUACUUAACAAUCUCCCUGUGGUGGGAGAUAGCUCUCAUAAACUGGUCAAGUGGUUUGUCUGUUCUGUGUGUGUGUGUGUGUGUGUGUGUGUGUGUGUGUGUGUGUGUGUGUGUGUGUGUGUGUGUGUGUGUGUGUGUGUGUGUGUGUGUGUGUGUGUGUGUUUUCAGGGUCAUUAGAUAACUGUAAAGGAGGAAAUUAAAGGGCAGUGUUUGAAAGAGUUUGUAACAGCAUACACUUAACUUCUUCUUCUUCUUCUUCUUCUUCUUCUUCUUCUUCUUCUUCUUCUUCUUCUUCUUCUUCUUCUUCUUCUUCUUCUUCUUCUUCUUCUUCUUCUUCUUCUUCACUUUUCCUCCUCUAUUCUCUGCUCUUCUCCUCAUUUCUCAUAUCUCCCCGUUCCGCUCCUCUCUCACUUCCUCUCCUCACCUUCCUCUUCCUCUCCUCACCUUCCUCUUCCUCUCUUGUCCCGUUCUGAGACGUGGAUUGCUCAGGCCUCUGUUAUCACCUUCACUCCCACCAGACUGUAAUUACAGGCCUAGGAAACUCCCAGCCCACACACACAUACACACACACACACACACACGCACGCACGCACGCACGCACGCACGCACGCACGCACGCACACACGCACACACACACACACACACACACACACACACACACACACACACACACACACACACACACACACACACACACACACACACACACACACACACACACACACACACACACACACACACACACGCAUACAAAUUCAUACACAUACAAACAUUCAUAUGCAUACACUCACAUGAAGGUAAGCCCUCACACACACACACACACACAAACACACACACACACACACACACACACACACACACACACACACACACACACACACACACACACACACACACACACACACACACACACACACUCAAACAAGGGUAAGCCCACAAACACACACUCUCACAUGCACAAGCAAAUACACACACAAACAAGCCUGCACUUACAUACAUUUAAACACACAUGCACAUGUUAAAGCACUUCCACCAGAUAUACAAAAGAUACAGGUUGACCCAUUAACUUCCCCAGUCUCGGUUCUUGUAUGUUCUCCACACUAUAUGUGAUAGAUUUACUUGCGUGCCUCUUGCAUUACUUGCAGCUCCGCCGCCAUAACAGACACAUGUUCAGACGUUAACUACAGCGUGCUAAAGCAUGUUUCUACCCUUUUUGGUCUAUUUCCUGUUUUUUUUUGGCCAAAGCCUCUCUUCCCUGCAAUAUUCUCUGUCAUGUACAGAAUUUCAAUUUCCAAACAAUUUCUUGCUCCGAAAGCAGCAAGCCUUAUCGUUCCGAUUAUUUUCCUGGUUGGCGCGGGCCACAGCAGGGCUGCUCGGGGGUUGGCCUGACAUAUAAUGGGCACCACACAAAGACCCCGGGGAGAGACCCGGGUGUGUGUCCCACCUGUGAUGUGGUCAAAAGAUGCCUGCUAGGCAAUUAGAGAUAAUCUCAACCUUUUUUCUCCCGAUGCCAUAUCUAAUUACCGGGCUACCCUUGAGUAGUGAUUAGUCAAAUAAUAGCAUUGUUAUUUUGAGGGCACGCAUAUAAAAAAAUAUAGCUCACACAGAAAUAUACGGUUUAAUUAUAGAUGUUGUUUGUCAGUGUAAACACCAAACACGGGAGCAGGGCUGAUUGUGUCCGGUCUUAUGGGGUGAGUGGGCUCUUGUCCCCUGGGACAAGGUGGCAGGAAGUAAACAGGCAGUGUUGGAUAGAGCUGCUGCUGCUGGAGUGUUGUCGGUCUUGUGACAUAGGAGCCAUAUCCCCCCCCCCCCCCCCCCCCCGUAGCAGGGCUUAGCUGGGUCUUGUCUUUUACAGAUUUACUGGUUUUAAUUGGGGGGCCCAAGACCCAGCACAUCCGCUCUCUGAGUUUGUUAGCGUAAAGUUUGGUCCGUGCGAAUAGUGUGAAAAGACAAGAUACACUGAACUUUUAUUGUUCCUUUUGCUCAAAGUCUGGAUCAGAGAGAGAGAGAGAGGUAGAGAGCGAGUGAGAGAGAGAGAGAGAGAGAGAGAGAGAGAGAGAGAGGGAGAGGGAGAGGGAGAGGGAGAGGGAGAGAGAGAGAGAGAGAGAGAGAGAGAGAGAGAGAGAGAGAGAGAGAGAGAGAGAGAGAGAGAGAGAGAGAGAGAGAGAGAGCAAUAAGUAUUGACAGAGGAAGAGUGAGGGAGGGGUAGAGAACCAGAGGGUAGAAAUGACUGGUUGGACAGGAGUGGGUUAUUUACCCCGGCCUAUGCUAUGAUUACGUCAGGUAGCUCCACAAACACGCUGACUCAAGUGCUCGAUGGACUCCUUGCAACUGCACAGAUUUGACUCCCCUUUAACACUCCCCCCACCCAAGAAGGAAAUCACAACGUUAUCAAUUUUCAUUCCGACAGGUGCAAUUCUAGUUUUCCUAUCUUUUCUCCUUUUUUUCUAUGCCUGGCUGGUAGACUUUACUUGACAAACGUCCGGGCAAAUGAAGUAGAAGAUGUUAUACCCGAUGUUGCAGUAGUGCUGUCGCAAGCCGUGCCACAUCUGCUCCCCCCCCCAGACCCCCCAACCAGCACCAUCACCUCCACCACCGCCACUAUCCCCUCCACCACCGCCAACACCACCCACCUCCACCGCCACCAGCCGCCCAAUGACAAUGAGGACUAAUGACUUUGGCAGGCGGGUGAGAGCGCCUGAAGAUUACCCCCUGCCACAAUUCAAUUCAAUUCCAUUCAAACGAUUCAAUUCAGACGUAUGACGUUUGUGUGUUUGCAGCCACAAGCAUGGGGAAUAGAUACCCCAGUCCCGCUGUUCAAAGCUUGUGGGUGGGUGUUUUGUAUGUGUGUGUGUGUGUGUGUGUGUGUGUUGGUGUUUGCAUGUGCGUGUCUAUAUUUGUCUGCUGUUGAGUACAGGUGUCCCUAUGUACAUGUGUGUGUGUGUGUGUGUGUGUGUGGGAAUGCUAAUGUAUGUUGCUUGUGAGGUCUUUAUGUGUUUGUGAGGAGGAGUGAUGCACGCCAGAGCGGUGACGCGGUCUGGCCCUGUGAGUCUGGACAGCAGAACGUCUGAUAACACGUCUGCAUGGAUCACCUCAGACCGGUUAUCUGGCCUCGUUGGUCGGUUCUCACAGGUCGGUUGUCACCGAUUCCGUUUCCAUUGCGAGACCAUCCAACAUCUUAUGGUGGAUUUAUCCCGCUAAAAACUAUUUUGGAUGAUGGAGGACAAGAUAGGAGUUCUAGUGAAUACCGAUGAAAGAAACAGAAUUCGGGGGAUCGAUAGCAUGAAUGAAAACAAGAGUUGGUGAGGUGGGCCUCACAUCAGUGGGCCAGCCUUAUUCGCUAACGUAUUCUGUCAGCUGCCUUUGUGCUCAUCCAUCGAUUUGGUUGUUUGUUCAUCUCGUUUACUGGAAGGAGAUGAACGGCGGUGAGAGGUGUUGCCAUGUUCCAUCGGAUAACUCUAAAAGACACGCACACACACACACACACACACACACACACACACACACACACACACACACACACACACACACACACACACACACACACACACACACACACACACACACACACACACACAGACACACACACAGACACACGCACCAACA
Gadus macrocephalus (Pacific cod) is the source of this 5010-nucleotide long non-coding RNA. RefSeq lists it as uncharacterized. The record is from RefSeq and is a predicted model, not a curated record. NCBI's taxonomy places the organism in Eukaryota, Metazoa, Chordata, Actinopteri, Gadiformes, Gadidae. The transcript is spliced from 2 exons.